UGGCAGGCCGCCGGGUAAGCGUCGGCUCCGGCUGACUGGCCUGCCGGAAGACCCAAACUCUUUUGUUUAAUGAUGUCUGAAUACUAUAUAAUAGUUAAAACUUUCAACAACGGAUCUCUUGGUUCUGGCAUCGAUGAAGAACGCAGCGAAAUGCGAUAAGUAAUGUGAAUUGCAGAAUUCAGUGAAUCAUCGAAUCUUUGAACGCACAUUGCGCCCCUUGGUAUUCCGAGGGGCAUGCCUGUUCGAGCGUCAUUAUAACCAUUCAAGCCUCGGCUUGGUCUUGGGGUUCGCGGUUUCGCGGCCCUUAAAUUCAGUGGCGGUGCCGUCUGGCUCUAAGCGUAAAAUUCUCUCGCUAUAGGGUCCAGGUGACCACCUGCCACAACCCCCCAUUCUUUACGGUUGACCUCGGAUCACGUAUGGAUACCCGCUGAACUUAAACAUAUC
Molecule: ribosomal RNA, 444 nt
Filed under: Cadophora sp. 2 DL-2015
Lineage: Eukaryota; Fungi; Ascomycota; Leotiomycetes; Helotiales; Ploettnerulaceae
Description: eukaryotic LSU rRNA
Rfam family: 5.8S ribosomal RNA (bases 99-252)
Source: RNAcentral